AGCCCCGGAGCCUUUGAGGGCUCUUUUUCAAACUUGCAUUUUGAUGUGGAUCACUUCAAGACUU
Molecule: transfer RNA, 64 nt
Filed under: Anolis crassulus
Lineage: Eukaryota; Metazoa; Chordata; Lepidosauria; Squamata; Anolidae
Description: tRNA-Cys
Source: RNAcentral